RNAcentral lists this long non-coding RNA (1519 nucleotides) under Mus musculus (house mouse). RNAcentral describes it as "predicted gene, 49766". The record is from RNAcentral. Lineage: Eukaryota; Metazoa; Chordata; Mammalia; Rodentia; Muridae.
GAGUCAUCUGCUUGGGUUAUAAAGUCAACAGUCACAGACUGGCCUUGCAUCACUGGACCCAAACCUUUGACCUAACUUUCCCGUCUAAGGUGAAGAGAAAAUGACAAAGCAGUUAGCUUUAACCCAGCUUAUCUGUUUGGCAUUGCUGCAAGAGAGCACUUGAGACUUGGUUACUUAACAUAAAGAGAACAGCACUUGGCUCAGAGCUCCAGGAGUCCGAGACAUACACGACUGAAGUGUCCCUUCAAGCUAGGUCCUUCUGCUUUUUAAAACAUUGCAGGAUACAAUACAUCAUGAGAGGACACACCUAAGAGAGGAGGAGAACUAAGCCUGGUUCGUAACAAACCCACUGUCAUGCUAACGAAUCCACUCCCAGGAUGGCGAGUCUACUUGUGAGCAAAGAAUCCUUAUGACCUGGCUAUCGGUUAGCCACUUGGUGAAGAUCCUGCCAACUAAAAUCUAACAGGGAAGCUUAAGAUUCCAGUAAAGAGCAGGGAGUAGAGUGUUUCUGAACAGCACAGAGCUAUGAGGCAGAGGGCCAGCCCCCCUCUGACAUCUAGCCCGGCAUUCCAUCCUCCAGCUGAACAUCUUGAGCUGGACUGUCUCCAUUUGGACAAGGAAAACUGCCUCUCUUCACUCGCACAUGGAAAGGAGGGCUCAGUCAGUGUUAGCUGAGGACCAGAGAAGCAUGUACUUCCAGCAUCAACACGGUGGUAACCGGUUUGCGAGAACUAUCGGUUCUGAUAGCUCAGGAGGACAGCCAAAUACAGGGUGUGUCAUCAAGAAGUGGAAUAUGUAUUUGUGAAUCUCAGAGAGAGCUCUGAAGUGGACCGUGAGAUCUGAGCAUCAUCAGCUUGUGAGCAGGAGGCAAGACCAUGAAUGCUGACAGAGUCAUUGAAGAAGAACAAGCAGCUGGCAGCCGGGCAUGCAGUGAGCUCAUGUGGACAUUUUCCAGUACAUAUUCUGAUGAGUCACACAAUCAAAAGAGACGGUCCCAAAUAAAAACAUUUAACGUUCUUCAUCACGGACUCUUUAUGUAUGAGUUGUCCUUACUGACGGCUCCCAUGAGGUAACAAGUCUCUUCACAUCUUCAACUCUCAUUCUUGGACAAGAUACGCACAAUCCGGAGUCUACAGGAGGUAGGAGGAUAAUGAGUGAGUCACCCUGAAAAGCAGAGCCUUUGUCCUGUGGCCUGUCUGAUGAGUUGCUUGGUCCAGCAACAAAGCCCAGCCCACCUGUCUAGGUGAUGGCCCCACCUCUUGGGAAACCUGGGAGUUUACCAGAACCUUUCCAUCUCUGAGCCAGAAAAACGGGCGUCACCGUGGAGGUCGCAGCUGGUCUGCAGAACUGAUGAUAAAUCAUGGAGAAGGCAUGAUUUAAAGAAGGACCUACAAUAUCGCUUCCCAGGCCAGAGACAGAAAUGACAUUCACGUGCAGAUUGCCUUCAAACCCUUCAUCCAGAUCAAACCUUCUUUGCCCCCUAUUAAAGAUCGUAUACGUCGCCUCGCCCCGUUUCUCU